CCGGUGUGCGGCAAGCGCUACCAUUUCAUCAUCGAGAACGACAGCAUCCAGAUGGCUGGCCGUCGUCGCACCUGCUGCCUGCGCUGCGGGACUCCCAUGGCCGCUGCAGAAUCAAGGUUGGAAGAACAAACAUACAUAUCAGUUCUUGGACAAAACGAACAUACCUUUCUGCAUGUAUGUCUGAAGAAAAAAUUACAUAUGACCGAACGAUUGAACUGCAUGCCCAAUUUGUUUUCCAGCUGUGCGAAGUUCUUGAAUUUGUUCAGCCCAUGGGCUGUAUGUGCGAAUUUAUUUUACAGUCUGUUCAAAGAUUCUUCUCUGUGCAAAGAUGUAUCCUUACCUUGGAUGCAAUUUCUUCUCCAGGUGCCUCUUGUGCAACUUUGACAUGGAAGGCGAGGAGCUGGAAGAGUGCGGGUACCUGCAUCUUGACGAUUCCUCUCACUUGCUGCACGCAGU
RNAcentral lists this long non-coding RNA (456 nucleotides) under Triticum aestivum (bread wheat). RNAcentral describes it as "long non-coding RNA (TAES_LNC000593)". Lineage: Eukaryota; Viridiplantae; Streptophyta; Magnoliopsida; Poales; Poaceae. The record is from RNAcentral.